RNAcentral lists this ribosomal RNA (254 nucleotides) under uncultured bacterium. RNAcentral's name for it is "partial 16S ribosomal RNA". It matches the Rfam family "Bacterial small subunit ribosomal RNA", at positions 526 to 779 of the family's 1533-position model. The record is from RNAcentral.
CGGAGGGUGCAAGCGUUAUCCGGAUUCACUGGGUUUAAAGGGUGCGUAGGUGGGUCUGUAAGUCCGUGGUGAAAUCUCUAAGCUUAACUUGGAAACUGCCAUGGAUACUAUUGGUCUUGAAUACCGUGGAGGUGAGCGGAAUAUGUCAUGUAGCGGUGAAAUGCUUAGAUAUGACAUAGAACACCAAUUGCGAAGGCAGCUCACUACACGAAUAUUGACACUGAGGCACGAAAGCGUGGGGAUCAAACAGGAUU